GAUGAACGCUGGCGGCGUGCCUAAUACAUGCAAGUCGAGCGAGAAGCUUGGAAAUGACGCUUCGGUUGAUUUUCCAAGCGGACAGCGGCGGACGGGUGAGUAACGCGUAGGCAACCUACCCCUGACAGAGGGAUAGCCAUUGGAAACGAUGAUUAAAACCUCAUGACACCGUAGUAGCACAUGCUACAUCGGUCAAAGAUUUAUCGGUCAGGGAUGGGCCUGCGUCUGAUUAACUGGUUGGUGAGGUAACGGCUCACCAAGGUGACGAUCAGUAGCCGACCUGAGAGGGUGAUCGGCCACAUUGGAACUGAGACACGGUCCAAACUUCUACGGAAGGCAGCAGUAGGGAAUCUUGCACAAUGGGCGAAAGCCUGAUGCAGCAACGCCGCGUGAAGGAUGAAGGCCUUCGGGUUGUAAACUUCUGUUCUAAGGGAAGAAAGAAAUGACGGUACCUUAGGAGCAAGCCCCGGCUAACUACGUGCCAGCAGCCGCGGUAAUACGUAGGGGGCAAGCGUUAUCCGGAAUUAUUGGGCGUAAAGAGUGCGUAGGUGGUUACCUAAGCGCAAGGUUUAAAUUAGAGGCUCAACCUCUACAUGCCUUGCGAACUGGGCUACUUGAGCGCAGGAGGGGAAAGCGGAAUUCCUAGUGUAGCGGUGAAAUGCGUAGAUAUUAGGAGGAACACCGGCGGCGAAGGCGGCUUUCUGGACUGUAACUGACACUGAGGCACGAAAGCGUGGGUAGCAAACAGG
RNAcentral lists this ribosomal RNA (749 nucleotides) under uncultured Mogibacterium sp. RNAcentral describes it as "bacterial SSU rRNA". It matches the Rfam family "Bacterial small subunit ribosomal RNA", at positions 28 to 776 of the family's 1533-position model. The record is from RNAcentral. Lineage: Bacteria; Bacillati; Bacillota; Clostridia; Peptostreptococcales; Anaerovoracaceae.